This 419-nucleotide long non-coding RNA is filed under the name Dasypus novemcinctus (nine-banded armadillo). RNAcentral's name for it is "lncRNA (ENSDNOG00000050651.1)". Lineage: Eukaryota; Metazoa; Chordata; Mammalia; Cingulata; Dasypodidae. The record is from RNAcentral.
CUCAUCUCCAACUUCAAGCAGGAAGUGCCCCUGUCCAGGGGCGGGGACAGGAGCUCGCCUCGCAGCACACCUCGCUGCACCUUGACGGAGUCCAGGCUUCAGAGACCCCCACAGUGUCUCGCAGCAACGGCUGGUGUAGUUCACCAAGCUCGCCAGAAAUCCACGGCAGCCAGCCCAUUAUCAAAACUUCCUCUUUGGCUGAGUGAGUUGAGCAGAAGGGUCUGGCCCCUAGAAAUCCACCCAAGAUUUCCUCUGCCUUGGGCCCUAGCCAAGGUGAAGAUGACAGCAUCACGCCGAGCUGGAUCUGUGGAGGGCGGAGCAGAUCUUCCACUGUCCUGCAGCAGACUGCAGGUUGACGAGAGUCACCUGGUCUGAGCCAGGGCAUCUUUGUCUUCCUACAGCAGCUCAGCUAUUUGGAG